GUGCACCAGGCGCGAAACCUCCGCAAUGCGGGAAACCGCGACGGGGGACCCCGAGUGCCGUGGCAACGCCACGGCUUUUCCGGAGUGUAAAAGCUCCGGGAAUAAGGGCUGGGCAAGGCCGGUGGCAGCCGCCGCGGUAAUACCGGCGGCCCGAGUGGUGGCCGCUAUUAUUGGGCCUAAAGCGUCCGUAGCCGGGCCCGUAAGUCCCUGGCGAAAUCCCACGGCUCAACCGUGGGGCUUGCUGGGGAUACUGCGGGUCUUGGGACCGGGAGAGGCGGGGGGUACCCCUGGGGUAGGGGUGAAAUCCUAUAAUCCCAGGGGGACCGCCAGUGGCGAAGGCGCCCCGCUGGAACGGGUCCGACGGUGAGGGACGAAGGCCA
This 380-nucleotide ribosomal RNA is filed under the name uncultured microorganism. Its description in RNAcentral is "bacterial SSU rRNA". It matches the Rfam family "Archaeal small subunit ribosomal RNA", at positions 330 to 713 of the family's 1478-position model. The record is from RNAcentral.